GCUGUGGGGAGGGCCUAAAACACA
RNAcentral lists this non-coding RNA (24 nucleotides) under Cricetulus griseus (Chinese hamster). Lineage: Eukaryota; Metazoa; Chordata; Mammalia; Rodentia; Cricetidae. The record is from RNAcentral.